This is a long non-coding RNA of Budorcas taxicolor (takin), 662 nucleotides long. RefSeq lists it as uncharacterized. The transcript has 3 exons. The record is from RefSeq and is a predicted model, not a curated record. Lineage: Eukaryota; Metazoa; Chordata; Mammalia; Artiodactyla; Bovidae.
GUCAGGAGGGGGCCUUUCAGAGGAGGCAAGAGACCCUCAAGUCCUCCAUCAGACACCCCCAGAAUACAUUCCAUUUCUUAGUCUAUUCUUCUCUGCCCACGAGCCUCCAGCUCACGUGGUCACUUGCCUCUCUCAUGGUUAGAUAAAGCGGAUACCAAGCCUGACACUUCAGGAGCAGCUGUAAGAGGCAGGUGUGAUUCGUAUGCAACCUGGGGAGGAACUUCCAGCGCCGAGCACCUCAAUUUCCUCACGUCUCCCUGGUUGUCCUGGGGUAACAUGAAGAAGGGGCUGUGGGGCCAGGCGGACCGCCCCCCCCGGAGGCCUCGAGUUCAGAUGGCUUUGAAUCCCUGCGACUAGACCUUCCAAAGGAUCCUGAGGCUUAAAUCCAGGUGGUUUCUUCAUUUGUGUACUCAUCCACCCAUCCACCCAUCCAUCCAUUCAUUCAGCAGGAGCCAAGAGGCGGAAGCGGCCCAGGUGCCCAUCACAGAUGAAAACAGCACAAUAUGGUCUGUUCUUCCAACAGAGCUUGACUCAGCCUUCAAGAAAAAUGAAAUACUGACACAGGUGACAAUGUGGAUGAACGUGGAAAACCCAAAGUGAAAGAAGCCAGACACAGAAGGACAAAUACUGUGUGCUUCCACUUAAAUGUGCUCAUCCAUAGA